AUGCCGAGUCCCUUCGACGGCGCCGCGAGGAGGGUGGCGGCGGUGGCGGCGCUGCUGCUGCUGCUGGCCGUGUCCGCGGCGGACGCGGCGGCCAGCAGCACGGUGGUCGCCGGCAUGGUGUUCUGCGACCAGUGCAAGGACGGCGCCCGCGGCCUCUUCGACUACCCGCUCUACGGGGCGCGGGUGGCGAUCCAGUGCGGCGGCGGCGACACCCCGAUCACGGUGCGGGAGUGCAACACCAACUGGUUCGGCGGCUUCUCCGUGCGCAUGGAGGGGUCGCCGGACAUGAACCGCUGCACGGCGCGCGUCGUCCACGCCACCGGCCACUGCUCCGCCGCCGCCGCCAACGCCGACCCGCGCGAGCUCACGCUCGCCUUCCGCAUGCUCGGCCUCGCCCUCUACACCGUCCUGCCGCUGCUAUCUCAGCCGGAGCAGCCCAUGGACUUCUGCCCCCGCGCCGGCCCCGUGCCCCCGCAUGACCCCGCGGCCGCGGCAGCUACGCCAUCGCCGCCCCUGACGGUGGCGCCGGGCCCGGCUUCUUCCCCGGUGCCGAUCUUCUGGCGCCGCAGGCCGCGGUUGCUGCCUCCCGUCUGGCGCCGCCCGCCGACGGUGCCGCAGCAGCCAGAGACGGAGCCGCUCCCCUCGCCGCCCGCGCCUUCCUCAACCGAAACGCCGGCCGAGGGCUCAAGCUCCGGCUCCGCGUGCGCGUACGACCAGUGGACGUUGCCGGAGCACCGGUGCCACUGGAAGGUAGUGACGCCCAACACGACGGUGGCCAUGGCGUUCGGCCCGCUGGCGGCGCAGCGGUACGGCCCGGACAUGACGCUGCGGGAGGCGCUCGACGGCCGCGGUGACCCCUACCGCACGCUGCUCCGGGAGGCCACGGCGGCGCUGCUGAACGCCUACUACAACGCUCCGGGGUCGCCCUUCCUCUACCCGACCACCGCCAGCGUCCUCGACCACCUCAACGGCGCGCUCCUCAGCUCCGCCCAGCGCGUGCUCAUCGAGGGCGCCCGCUUCCGCCGCGCCAACACCGGCGGCGGCGGGCCCGCCGGCCGGACCAAGCUGCCAUGCGACUUCACCCCGUGCGCCGCCACCAACGCCACCACCACAGGCUGA
Molecule: ribosomal RNA, 1119 nt
Filed under: Triticum aestivum (bread wheat)
Lineage: Eukaryota; Viridiplantae; Streptophyta; Magnoliopsida; Poales; Poaceae
Description: partial small subunit ribosomal RNA
Source: RNAcentral